Molecule: ribosomal RNA, 497 nt
Filed under: uncultured bacterium
Lineage: Bacteria
Description: partial 16S ribosomal RNA
Rfam family: Bacterial small subunit ribosomal RNA
Source: RNAcentral
GAUGAACGCUGGCGGCGUGCCUAAUACAUGCAAGUCGAGCGAACAGACGAGGAGCUUGCUCCUCUGACGUUAGCGGCGGACGGGUGAGUAACACGUGUAUAACCUACCUAUAAGACUGGGAUAACUUCGGGAAACCGGAGCUAAUCCCGGAUAAUAUCUUGAACCGCAUGGUUCAAUAGUGAAAGACGGUUUUGCUGUCACUUAUCGCUGGAUCCGGGCUGCAUUAGCUAGUUGGUAAGGUAACGGCUUACCAAGGCAACGAUGCGUAGCCGACCUGAGAGGGUGAUAGGCCACACUAGAACGGAGACACGGUCAAGACUCCUACGGGAGGCAGCAGUAGGGAAUCGUCGGCAAUGGGCGAAAGCCUGACGGAGCAACGCCGAGUGAGAGAUGAAGGUCUUCGGAUCGUAAAACUCUGUUAUUGGGGAAGAACAAAUGUGUAAGGAAAUAUGCAGGGAGUGACGGUAACGAAUCAGAAAGCCACGGCUAACUACGUG